UUCCUGCAAGAAAGGGGGGUUUGUUCCUUUGUGUCUCUGCUGCAAGGGCUGCCUCGGUCUCCCCUCCUGGGAUCUGGUGAGUCUCCUCUCUCUCUGGGAUCUGGUGGGGGUCCCAGGGCUGCAGCAGGGGAGGGGGCCUGGGGGGGGCCUGAUCUGCUCCUGCAGGGGGGGGGACCCCAAGUCAGGGAGGAGAGGGUCCUGCCAGGGAGGGGCCAGGUCUGCCACGCUCUCCUUCCUGCAGAUCAGAGGAUCCCAAACUCAUUUGACCCUCCGCCCCCCCUUUCAGAAAAAAUCUCCCUUCUUUAUACAAAGGAGUCCCUGGGACUUUAACUCUGUGUGAUGUCGCUCAGCCUCAUUGCACAACAGAGGAAACAUCCGCAAAUGGUUUUCCAAAGCUGGAGGAGGAGGUGGACACUAGCCCCCCCCCCAAAAAAAAACGGGCAGGAAGGAAGGAAAAGUAGGAAAGAGAGACCAGGAAUAAAGAGAGGGAUCCCAGCCCCUAGUCUGGCUACUGCAUUGCAAACCAGUUUCCCAGUGUCUCCCAGGGCAGCUCCCCACGGAGGCCACUGCAGCAAUCCCCUCGCACCCAGAGCAUGGCAUCCCAGGACCACAUCCUCUCUCUGUCCCAAAGGGAUUGUUGCUGGAAAACCAGCCAAGCCGGAAAUGGGCGCUGCUACUCACCGAGCCUCCAGGGACCUUGGCAUCAAUGGCUGUGUGUGUGUUAAGCUAUCUAACAGAUUAAUACUACUACUACUUUUAAUAAAUUACACACCUAAAUUAAAAGGAGAUGUCUUUGGCCCUGCCCAUACCUGGCCCUCAGAGCAAAGAAAAAGGGAGCCCACCCCAGGUGUCUGUCUGGAGAGCGGCAGAGAGUCCAAGUGCAAGAAAAGGAGACAGAAGCAGGGGAGUGGGGGUGGGGGGAGCAACUCCUGAGGACCCCCAGGUGAGGACCCCCACUAGAGCCAAGCAUUCAUUUAUCACGAGAUACAAAUGACUCCCUUGUCAGUCACUUCUGACUUCAUGCAUUGACUGGAAGGCAGCAGAAACCAGGAUGAUUAAUCUGACAGAAAUCCCUUCAGUUGCCUCCACAUUCUGCAUUGCUUGAAGGCUAGAGACUUAUUUCUUCUCCUCUUCCUCCUCCUCCUCCUCUUUCUUUUCAGAAAGAUAGCUCAUGGUCUGGGAUCUGGUGCAGUCCAGCCCUGGUUCCCAGCAAGACUCAUCCAUGCUUGCUCAUUUCUUUUCCUGUCCUACAGAUUCUGUAACAGAACAAUGUAUUUGCUUUGUAGGAUUUCCUAGAGCUUUUCACCUCGACAGACAGAACUUGGCAGAAGACCAAAGGGUUCCUUCCAAUCUCUCAGAGGCUUCCUGAGAGCACAGAUGGAUGAGCAAGACUCAGCUGGUCCUGGAACAGGAAGAGGCCAUGCCAGCCAAACUGGGAGCAGUGGGGGAUUCUGGGAAAACUCUGUGCAGAAGAUCCAUGGUGAGGUGGACACCCUCCUCUCAGAGGUGCAGAGCCAGCAGUUGAGGCAGUUCUGCUGCCAGGAGGCCAAAGGAGCCCGAGAGAUUGGCAGCCGACUCUACCACUUUUGCCAUCAAUGGCUGAAACCAGAAAGGCACACGAAAGCUGAGAUGCUGGACCUGGUGAUCUUGGAGCAGUUCCUGGCUGUCCUUCCCCUGGAGAUGGAGAGCUGGGUGAGGGACUGUGGGGCGGAGACCAGUUCCCAGGCGGUGGCCCUGGCCGAAGGUUUCCUCCUGAGUCAGGCAGAGGAGAGAAAGCAGGUGAGAUAAAGUGCGAGAUUGGCUCCAUUAUUAUCAAAUAAUGGAGGCAUACAAAUUGGACAAAAAAGUUGGUUUCCAGGUGGAAAAAUCAGAAUUGGAAACAGAAUUGUUAGAUCCAAAAACCAAGAAUUUGUUAAGAAUGUAUAACUUGCUGUUGAAAUGGAACACUCAGGAUGAAACGGUGAAAUCAGCUAUGAUUAAAUGGGCACAAGAUGUAGGACAUAACAUAAUGAUGGCUGACUGGGAACGGUUAUGGACCACAGGUAUGAAAUUUACGGCAUGUAAUGCCCUAAGAGAAAAUUUAAUGAAAAUGAUUAAUAGAUGGUACAUGACACCAGUUAAGCUUGAAAAAAAUCUACCAUUUGCCCGAUAAUAAAUGUUGGAAAUGUAAUGAGACUGAAGGUACAUUCUUUCACCUUUGGUGGACGUGCCCAAGGAUUAAGGCAUUCUGGGAGAUGAUUUAUAAUGAAAUGAAAAAGGUAUUUAAAUACACCUUCCUGAAGAAACCAGAGGCCUUUCUCCUGGGCAUGGUCGGCCAAUUGGUGUUAAAGAAGGAUAGAACUUUUUUUAUGUACGCAACAACAGCAGCAAGAAUACUCAUUGCGAAGUAUUGGAAGACACAAGAUUUACCCACCCGGGAAGAAUGGCAGAUGAAGUUGGUGGACUAUAUGGAAUUGGCGGAAAUGACUGGCAGAAUCCGAGACCAGGGAGAAGAGUCGGUGGAAGAAGACUGGAAAAAGUUUAAAGACUAUUUACAGAAAUACUGUAAAAUUAAUGAAUGUUAGAAAAAUGUUGGAAUGAAGUUAUAUGGCUUUAGUAGAAAUGUUAUAAGGAAUUAAGUAUAAAUAGAUUAAUAGAGCAUUAAAGGGAAAAAUAAGGUUAGAAUGUGUUAAGACAAUUAUAGGAUAGAAAACAGAGGAAGAUGGAAAGGAAUUGCUGAAACAAUUAAUAGAAGUGGAAUACAAAAAGGGAGGUGUGAGGAGGUCGUGGAAAUUAGUGAAAGAAAGAUAAGAUAUUGAAAUUGGACUGUGUUUUAAAUGGUUUUUGUUUUGUUUUGUUAGUUGUAUGUUAGUGUUUUGCAGUGUUUUUUUUUGUAUUGUAUUGUUGUAUGUUUUUUCUUUUUUGGUUUUCUGUAGUGUUGUGUUCAAUUUGUUGGAAAACUAAUAAAUAUUAUUAUUUUUUUUAAAAAGGGGGAGAAAGCAGGUGAGAGAGACUUUCCUCUGGAUACUCCCAAGGGGCUCCAAACAGGACAGAAAACAUCCCAUAAUGGUCUGCUGAUGGCCCAUCCAUUUUCUGGGAAGGCAUCCAUGAAAUGAGAUCUCGUACCCUUCAAGUCUUUGUCAUUCUCUUUCUAGUAUUUCUCCCCAUUCUCUGUUUUGAAUCCUUGUUUCUUUCUCAGGGAAAGGAUCUCUUUGCAGAAAUGGACCUGGAUUCCUGUGAGGCAGAGAGGCCUCCGUUGGACACCAGAGAGAGGCCACUGGGUAAGGAGGAAGGUGGUUAUUCUCCGUUUGGUCUCGUUCUGUUGGUUUUCCAAUUCAUCUGAGGGUUCUUUUCACCUUGUUUUGGGGAGAGACAGUUGGGAACAAGGGUCCAGAGGAGGGGAGAUGUAUUUCUGCACAACAAACAUAAAAUGGGCAGAAACCUCCAAAUGCUUUCAGCAGGUAAGGCUUUCUCAAAGGCCCAUCUGUAGUUAGAGAUGCCCUGUUUCACCUGUGAGAGAUACAGGCACUCCUGGUGUCCUUUUUACAUUUUUUCUCUUGCAGGUGGCAGAAGGAUGCCAGCAAGACUUCCUGAUCCAUCUUUUCAUGGGGGCAGAAGGGAAGCAGCGGCUGUGGAACCAGAUCAGGUCAGGGGAAGCUGCCUUGUGGG
RNAcentral lists this long non-coding RNA (3648 nucleotides) under Podarcis lilfordi (Lilford's wall lizard). Lineage: Eukaryota; Metazoa; Chordata; Lepidosauria; Squamata; Lacertidae. The record is from RNAcentral.